Molecule: long non-coding RNA, 1637 nt
Organism: Dalotia coriaria
Lineage: Eukaryota; Metazoa; Arthropoda; Insecta; Coleoptera; Staphylinidae
Exons: 11
Source: RefSeq, a predicted model, not a curated record
UGCUUAGUGGGUCGUGCGCGGUGGUGUCGUGAGCACGUGUUUUGUUCGUGAGUCUACCUGCAUAGUUCUUAAUCGCGAUUCUUGAAAUGUUAAUGCGAUAGUGACAUGGACGACAAUGAAUUUCAUCCAGUGUGCCUUACAGUUAUUGAAUUGUCGCUCAUGGAAUCGGAUAUUGUGUUACUUUGCUAACCUUCGUGGCUGCUGUCGGAUACCGUCCGCUUGCUACUAUGUCGAAUUGGUAUUACAGUGGAAUUCCGGUAAUCCGAUAAACACUUUGCAGGGCAUUGUCGAAUUAGCGAAUUUGUCGGAUUAUACUUUUUACAAAAUAGUACCUUGUAAUCCGACAAUUUACAAAUUCAAUGAUAAGAUUUAUUCAAUUAAAAUUCAGUGAAUUAAACAACCAAAUAAAAAAAUUACGUUUUACAUAUUAUAAAAUUUACAUAUUAUACGUUUUACAAUAUGUAUCUUGAUCGAAGCUACAUUUAUUUAAAACUAUACCCUAUGCCUCGAGCACAAUUAUUAUAGUGGUACGAACAAAUUAUAACUGGAUCAUUCUUGCAUUUGCGACCCUUGUUGUCGGAUUACAAGAGAUGCCGAAUUAACCUGGAUUACCGGGAUUGUACUGUAUUAUUUAUUUAUUCAACGGUUAAUUUAUUAGAAUAAGUAUUAAUUCUUACUAAUCUGAAAUGUCUGUUGCCAACAGAAGAACAGUUAAGUGAGUGACGUCAAUGAAAAUUGAAACAAACGUAUUCAUUAAUUUGAUUAUGUAUUUGCAGCUAUAGAAAAUAGUUUCACCACACGUUAAAGAAACACAAGUACUUCCUUGAUUGUAUGACCCCAAUAAAAGUAUACGCCGUACCUUGGAGUCUGAUGAGUUCUGCAUUAACAUUAACUUAAACGUUAACGCAACUCUCUACGGUGCCCUGAAUGGAAGUCACUUUUACCGCUACCCUCAUACGGUGCCCCAAAUGGGAAUCACUUCUACCGCUACUAAUUUUUGCUUCUUUUAGAAAGUCGGACAUCGUAGAAGGACCAUUCUAGCAUCAGAUUGGCUUUUGAACCUGAGUCUGACAUCGUAAAAGGACCAUUCUAGCAUCAGAUUGAAUUUUGCACCUGAGUCUGACAUCGUAGAACGACCAUUCUGGUAUCAAAUUGAAAGGAUUUUGCACCUGUGUCUAACAUCGUAGAAGGACCAUUCUGGCAUCAGAUGGGAUUUUGCACCUGAGUCUAACAUCGUAGAAGGACCAUUCUAGCAUCAGAUUGGAUUUUGCACCUGACUCUGACAUCGUAGAAGGACCAUUCUGGUAUCAGAUUGGAUUUUGCACCUGAGUCUGACAUCGUAGAAGGACCAUUCUUACAUCAAAUUGGAUUUUGCACCUGAGUCUGACAUCGUAGAAGGACCAUUCUUACAUCAAAUUGGAUUUUGCACCUGAAUCUGACAUCGUAGAAGGACCAUUCUUGCAUCAGAUUGGAUUUUGCACCUGAGUCUGACAUCGUAGAAGGACCAUUCUUGCAUCAGAUUGUUAGUAUUAAAUUAUCUUAAAUAACUUUUGUGAUUAUUAUACAAAUUGACUCCCAAAAUUAAUGCUUGUGUGUUUUCUUUAAUAAAGAAUAUUUUUAAGUUUUUCUAAUCAAAA